UACGGGGGGGGCAAGCGUUGUUCGGAAUUACUGGGCGUAAAGGGCUCGUAGGUGGCCAACUAAGUCAGACGUGAAAUCCCUCGGCUUAACCGGGGAACUGCGUCUGAUACUGGAUGGCUUGAGGUUGGGAGAGGGAUGCGGAAUUCCAGGUGUAGCGGUGAAAUGCGUAGAUAUCUGGAGGAACACCGGUGGCGAAGGCGGCUCUCUGGACCUGUUCUGACGCUGAGGAGCGAAAGCGUGGGGAGCGAACAGG
This 253-nucleotide ribosomal RNA is filed under the name uncultured prokaryote. RNAcentral's name for it is "partial 16S ribosomal RNA". It matches the Rfam family "Bacterial small subunit ribosomal RNA", at positions 524 to 776 of the family's 1533-position model. The record is from RNAcentral.